This 116-nucleotide ribosomal RNA is filed under the name Danio rerio (zebrafish). The record is from RNAcentral. Lineage: Eukaryota; Metazoa; Chordata; Actinopteri; Cypriniformes; Danionidae.
GCCAAAGCUAUAUCACCCUGCAGCCCAAGACUGGUUACUCACUGAAGCUAAGCAGGGCUGAGCCUGGUCAGUACCUGGAUGGGAGACCACUAGGGAACACUAGGUUGCUGUUGGAA